GCUGGGCAUGGUGGUGCACGCCUGUAGUCCCAGCUACUCAGGAGGCUGAGGUGGGAGGAUCACUUGAGCCCAGGAGGGCAAGGAUACAGCCUGGGCAACAGAGUGAGAUCCUGUCUCAA
Molecule: non-coding RNA, 119 nt
Organism: Nomascus leucogenys (northern white-cheeked gibbon)
Lineage: Eukaryota; Metazoa; Chordata; Mammalia; Primates; Hylobatidae
Rfam family: Metazoan signal recognition particle RNA
About the family: The signal recognition particle (SRP) is a universally conserved ribonucleoprotein.
Source: Rfam